RNAcentral lists this ribosomal RNA (414 nucleotides) under uncultured microorganism. RNAcentral describes it as "bacterial SSU rRNA". It matches the Rfam family "Archaeal small subunit ribosomal RNA", at positions 459 to 872 of the family's 1478-position model. The record is from RNAcentral.
CAGCCGCCGCGGUAAUACCGGCGGCCCGAGUGGCGGUCACUAUUAUUGGGCUUAAAGCGUCCGUAGCCGGGUUGGGAAGUCCUCCGGGAAAUCUGGCCGCUUAAAGGUCAGAAUGCCGGAGGAUACUCCCAGCCUAGGGAGCGGGCGAGGCCGAGGGUAUUCCCGGAGUAGGGGGGAAAUCCUAUAAUCCCGGGAGGACCACCUGUGGCGAAGGCGCUCGGCUGGAACGCGUCCGACGGUGAGGGACGAAGGCCAGGGGAGCAAACCGGAUUAGAUACCCGGGUAGUCCUGGCUGUAAACGAUGCGGACUUUGUGUCGGACAAGCUAUGAGCUUGUCCGGUGCCGGAGGGAAACCGUUAAGUCCGCCGCCUGGGGAGUACGGCCGCAAGGCUGAAACUUAAAGGAAUUGGCGGG